CAUAUUUGAGUUCAUGCUGCUGCUUGUCAGGAAUGAAAAUCACUAUUACAAUGAUGAAAUAAAGGGCAUUUAUGGAUUUUGUUUGCUUAUUUCUUUUUUAAUGGAUAAGAGAGUUCUUGAAUUUACAGGCAAAGACACUUUGGCCUUUCAUUAUGUACAUAGGUAAUAUCUCUGUUGCUGUUCGUGACAGCCAUUUUAACCAAUGCUUCAACUGGGUUAUUUGCCAGUGGCAUAGAAAGAACUUCCAUUGUGCUGAAGUUAUUUUUCCCCUCUUCAAUAAUGCAUUAAAAUGAUUAAUUUUGAUGAUUUUUCUCAGUGGCUUAUUUAAAUUAUAAGAUGCAUAGAAGAAAAGGGAUCUAAAACUUAAAAUGGUUCCUCUGACAAAACUGCCCUGAGCUCAAGAGAAAUUCUUACUAUAUCCGGAGAGAAUUCAGGGAAGCCAAGCUAGAGCCAAAGUAAUAGGUCAAAGUCAAGAUGAAAAACAGCAAGAGUAAGGAUCAUCAGAAACCCAGAGAAAGAGCAUUCGGGGUCCAGGUCAGCAGCAGACUAAAGGUGCAGAACAAGAGAUGUAACACUAGAAACAAAGCCCAUUCAUCCUAUUGGUUGGCAAAUGUGAAAGUGGAUGAAGAAGAUGGUAAAAGCGGAGUGAAAAACAUUUACACAAAGACAGUGGAUAAACAGGGACUGAAAAAAAUGGCACCAGGUUGUGGGAAAGAAAUUCCCUUUGGAAACAAAAUCUACAUUCCCACUACAAUGCGGAGCUGUGGGAGUUAGCACUUUCAGUGUUAUUAAGACAUCCUUCUUUUAAAUAUUCAAAUAAAAAUUAAAGGCAUUCUGGAGUUCCUGUCAUGGCUCAGUGGUUAACGAAUCUGACUAGGAACCAUGAGGUUGCAUUGCUGUGGCUCUCGCAUAGGCUGGAGGCUACAGUUCCGAUUAGACCCCUAGCCUGGGAACCUCCAUUUGCCAUGGGUGCAGCCCUAGGAAAACACACCAAAAAAGACCAAAAUAAAUAAAUAAAUAAAGGCAUUCCAUUUCAAAUGCCCUGCUUCACUAGGAAGUAAGCAGUUACAGCAGUGGUUCUUAAUAGAACCUCUUUAAGAGGUUUUUUGUUUUCCUUUUUUAAUGUCUUUGGGGCCAUAUUCUCCAAAGGUUCUGAUUUCAUAGGGCCUUCCUGGGACCCUAUGAUCUGCAUUUUUAUAAGUAACUCUCCCAUCCCACCGUUUUUAUUGUAUGUGAUUUGUUGUCCAUAACUGAAGAAGCGCUGACCCAGUAGUGCAACUUUGAGAAGGCUAGAGGAAAAAGACAACAGUCAUCAAAUUCUCUUCUUUUACUCUCAUUAUCUUUUCCUUUUAUUCAUUUUUCUUUUUAGUUUUAUUGCACCCAUAUGGAAGUUCCUGGGCCUAGGAUUGAAUCCAAUACACAGUCGCAACCCAGGCUGCAGUUGAGGCAACUCCAGAUCCACCAUGCUGAGAUGGGGAUCAAACCUGUGCCUCUAUAGCAAUGAGCCCCUGCAUUUGGAUUCUUAAUUUAUUGUGCCAUGGCUGGAACUCCUCUUUUCCAUUUCUUAUCCCACUUCUACUAUGUUCGUUAACCUUUCCCUACGCCUCUGAUAUAUAAUUUACUACAUGAGAACAAGGAAUAUGGAAUAAGCCUCCAAAGGAAUGUUCUAAACUGUUCUCUCUGCUUGAAACACUCUUCCCUGUUAUCCACCAGGCCUGGGCUCUUCCAUCCCCUGUGUUUCAGUCACCUCUCCCCACUUCAGGAGGCCUUCCAGAAAGCAAGGCUGGGGGUUUUCUCAGUGGUUAUCACCAGGCAGUUACCCCAUUGGUUUCUUGUCUGCUUCUUUCUUUAGGAUUUAAAAAUCUGCAAUGACAGAGACUGUCUUUGCUAUCGUGACACUGUACCCAGUACAGUGUCUGGAGGACAGGAGGGACUCCAGCAAUAUUGGAUAAUUAAAUGAAUAACUAAAUGAAGAUGAAACCAGUACAAAUUUACCCUAAUGAGAAAAUUAAAGAUCCAUGGAUGUCUAGGAGUCUACCAGUACCUCCUAACAAGAAUGGAAGUUGAGGUUCAUGAAGAGAAAUAACCUGUGCAAUGUCAUGCACUGCACUAGUGGUUUUGUUCACUGUUCCUUGGAGUUCUUAGACGAUUUCAAGACCCCCCCCCACACCUCUCUUUCUCUCAUUCCCCUAUAUUUAUUGAAUACUAUGUGCUCUCUCAAAGCUUUACAGAAAUUAUCUUACUCAAGCAUCUCAACAGCCUUAUUUUUACAGAUAUGCAAACUGAGUCUCACAGCAGAGAAUAAGUUGCUAGAGAUCAUGACUAGGAAGAGGCCAAUCUCAUCAUUCUGGGAUUGAAUUUAGGUCAGCACUAUCCAUUUGAUUUUUUUGCCAUGAUGAAAAAUUCUAUAUCUGUACUGUCUGGUACCAUAGCUAUCUGCCAUGUAUGGGUAUUGAGCACUUGCAAUUUGGCUAGUGGAACUAAGAAAAUAAAUUUUUCACUUUAUGUAAUUAUAAUUAAUUUAUAUUUAAUUUUGCAUAUUUACUCAUAGCUAGAGGCUGCCAUAUUGGCCCGCACAGGUCUACACUAUUUACAAUAUGUACAAACUUUGCACCAUCCCACUAUUUUCUCAAUUGGGUUCCCAUUAGGUACAAGUUUUAUUCAUUCGGUUCCUAAUUGAGGUAGAAAUACUUUAUUUAAGAGAGGGUCCUAGGCAGCAGGUGAAGGACCAGGGAAAUGAGACAGGGAAGGUGGAACACACCAAAGGCCAUUGGACUUCAUUUUUUCAGGAACACUCUUAUAGAAUGUUAUGGAAUCACCUCAUAAUUAUCCCAACAAGGGGUGAGGAGGUGGUCAUGUUCGUCCACCAAAUACAAAACCUCAUAGGUUAAGAGCUGGUCCUGGAGAAAGUUCUAGCCUCUUUCUCAUCAGAACAGUCAUGUCCCUGGGGCUAGACAAAGCCUUUGGGCAGAGAGAUGCAGGUCUCUGAGGUAGGGACUGUCCUGCAACACUGCAGGUGACUUCCAGGGAGGUCAGUAGGCCAUGGACCCAAGUAAAACUAUACUGCCUCUCCCUUUAAACUAAUAUGAGGUUCGUUUGUAUCAGUGUUUUAUCUGGGGUGGGAGGAAAGACACUUGAGAUUGUGUUGGCAAGAAAGGUUCUGCUACUUAAAAUUUAUUUAAAAAGAGAGAGAGAAAAGCUUCCAAACUAUAGUUCCAAACUCUACUCUUGCCAGUUUUCUUGACCACCUCAAUUACUAAAUUUUAUCCUAUUCUGUAUCAUUUCUAGCUUAGCAUGGAGCCUCUAAAUAGCCCUGCAGUCUAGACCUCAAAAUGUAGUCAUAAAAUAGCAGACCCUGGACUUUCUCAGUGGAGACAUGAAGCAACGCAAUAUUCCAGAAGUGUUUGUUUGUUUGGGUUUUAAUUCGCUAUAUAUAAAAAGCUUAGUGGUGACAAGAAAAGAUAAUCAGGAAGAACUUACACGUGGUUUUAAAAAAAUUAAAAAAUAGUUUUAAAGAAAAAGUAAAUGGGAAAGGAUCAAGAUGGUGGAGGAGUAAGACGUGGUAUUCACCUUCUCCCACAAACACAUCAAAAUCAAAAGAAAACAAACAACCUCUUACAUGUAGAGCAAUUUGCACAGAACAUCUACUGAUGGCAAAAGACCGUAAACCUCCAAAAGGGGCAAGAAACCCUCCAUGUAACUGGGUAGAACAAAAAAAAAAAAAAAAAAAAGAGUGUGAAGAAAGGAGUGAGGAUGGGACCUCUGGAAGAGAGCUGCUACAGAGGAAAAGAACCCACACCCUGGGAAGCCACCUAACCAAUGGGGAGAUCAGCUGAGACAAAGGGAUGUCAAAGUCAUGGAGAAUAGCACAGUAGUAGGAUUGAGGAGGGCAAAGCAGAGUGAGAGCCACACAAAUCAUCUGUACCACCACCCCUGAACACCACAGCCUGAGAUGCUCAGGCAGGGGCUGGGUGUUGAGACUUAGAUUCUGGAGGUCAGUUCCUGGGAGAGGACUAGGGUUGACUACGUGGAGACGGCCUGAGGGGCUAGAGAGCAGUUCUCCAUGGGCUGGGGAGCAAAAUGCCACAGCUAAGGUAACUCCAGAGGAGGUCUGGGCCCACAGGAGAAGCAAGGUGCCAUUGUUGGAGAGGCAGAGAAAAGGAGGGGGGUACCACCAUAGGAAUAUCUUUCCCUGCACCUACAUGGAGUCUCAUAGGGCGGGACACCUCUGGCACAGGGUACGGGUGGUGAGAUGCCACUUUCUCGUGCUAAGGGUGACUGGGCACCUCUUGUGUGGGCUCUAGGUGGUCAGGCAGCGCUGGUGUGGGCUAAGGGCAGCAGGUGGCUAAGAGGUAUGUGGCACUUCUUUCGUGAUCUACAGUCGAUAAGGACAAACCACAGCAGUCAUCUCAGACACCAUAGAGGGGCAUGGCCUGCCACCACUAGGGGCCUGUGAACAGGUACCACCUGUGGCCCCAGUCACCUCAAAGAUUAGCAAAGAAGAUGUCACUGCAACCAAGCACCUUUUGUUGCUGUUGCUCCCCUGGGAACACACCCGCCCUGCUUCUGCCACUACCAAAUGCUACAGGCACCUCCUAUACAUGGCUUAUCAUUGUCACUUCCCAGGGCCCUGCAUCUAGGAGCAGUCAGUGCCACCUUCCCACAGGUCUUUGCUGCUAUCAAGGGCCCAGCAAUUAGGCACUGGCUACUAGCCCUGCCCAUUGCCUCCAUGCCCCCUGAAGCAGGUGCAGCACCCUAAAAAAUAAAAAGUAAGCCCUAACAAAAUACGCAGGGGAACUCAUACACACACACACGAAACUAAAGUAGUAGUUUUCCCUAAAUUCACAGAAUAAGAAAUAUAUAAGCAAAAUGAAGAGGCUCAGGAACUAUUCCCAGUUAAAAGAACAGGAGAAUUCACCUGAAGGAGCAAGUAAUGAAAGAGACCUCUGCAGUCUAACAGGCAUCGAGUUCAAAAGAAAAUAGUGAAAAAAACCUAAAGAAUUAAGAGAAAAUAUAAAGAAACUAAGAGUGGAUAUGAACAGUAAUGGAAAUUACUUUAGAAAUAAACUAGAAAAUAUAAGGAGGAGCCAAGAAAAAUUAGAAAAUUCAUUUGCAGAGAUGCAAGCUGAGUUAAAGGCACUAAAGAGCAGAAUGAAUAAAACAGAGGAAUGAAUAAGUGAUUUGCAAAAUAGAAUAAUGGAAAUCACCCAACCAGGAUAGCAGA
This 5224-nucleotide long non-coding RNA is filed under the name Sus scrofa (pig). RNAcentral's name for it is "lncRNA (ENSSSCG00000055789.1)". The record is from RNAcentral. Lineage: Eukaryota; Metazoa; Chordata; Mammalia; Artiodactyla; Suidae.